This 57-nucleotide small nuclear RNA is filed under the name Oncorhynchus mykiss (rainbow trout). RNAcentral describes it as "U7 small nuclear RNA (ENSOMYG00000076527.1)". It matches the Rfam family "U7 small nuclear RNA". From Rfam's summary of the family: Animal histone pre-mRNAs are spliced by a different mechanism than nuclear pre-mRNAs and self-splicing introns. Lineage: Eukaryota; Metazoa; Chordata; Actinopteri; Salmoniformes; Salmonidae. The record is from RNAcentral.
UGGAAGUUGAGCUUUUUUAGCAUUUCUCUAGUAGGUUUCCUCAAGGAGAAAGCCUCC